AUUAGACAACUGAGCUUGAUUCUC
RNAcentral lists this non-coding RNA (24 nucleotides) under Arabidopsis thaliana (thale cress). Lineage: Eukaryota; Viridiplantae; Streptophyta; Magnoliopsida; Brassicales; Brassicaceae. The record is from RNAcentral.